Molecule: transfer RNA, 90 nt
Filed under: Legionellales bacterium
Lineage: Bacteria; Pseudomonadati; Pseudomonadota; Gammaproteobacteria; Legionellales
Description: tRNA-Leu
Rfam family: tRNA
About the family: Transfer RNA (tRNA) molecules are approximately 80 nucleotides in length.
Source: RNAcentral
GCCCAGGUGGCGAAAUAGGUAGACGCAAGGGACUUAAAAUCCCUCGGGACUUAACAUCCCAUGCCGGUUCGACCCCGGCUCUGGGCACCA